GAUGAACGCUGGCGGCGUGCCUAAUACAUGCAAGUCGAGCGAACAGACGAGGAGCUUGCUCCUCUGACGUUAGCGGCGGACGGGUGAGUAACAUGUGGAUAACCUACCUAUAAGACUGGGAUAACUUCGGGAAACCGGAGCUAAUACCGGAUAAUAUAUUGAACCGCAUGGUUCAAUAGUGAAAGACGGUUUUGCUGUCACUUAUAGAUGGAUCCGCGCCGCAUUAGCUAGUUGGUAAGGUAACGGCUUACCAAGGCAACGAUGCGUAGCCGACCUGAGAGGGUGAUCGGCCACACUGGAGCUGAGACACGGUCCAGACUCCUACGGGAGGCAGCAGUAGGAAAUCUUCCGCAAUGGGCGAAAGCCUGACGGAGCAACGCCGCGUGAAUGAUGAAGGUCUUCGGAUCGUAAAACUCUGUUAUUAGGGAAGAACAAAUGUGUAAGUAACUAUGCACGUCUUGACGGUACCUAAUCAGAAAGCCACGGCUAACUACGUG
Molecule: ribosomal RNA, 497 nt
Filed under: uncultured bacterium
Lineage: Bacteria
Description: partial 16S ribosomal RNA
Rfam family: Bacterial small subunit ribosomal RNA
Source: RNAcentral